Molecule: long non-coding RNA, 5732 nt
Organism: Symphalangus syndactylus (siamang)
Lineage: Eukaryota; Metazoa; Chordata; Mammalia; Primates; Hylobatidae
Source: RefSeq, a predicted model, not a curated record
CCGUCCAAAGAAUCUGGUUUUUUGCCCUCUACUCCAUCUCACCCCACACACUCUGAGUAAUUUGGUAGUUUGGAGUUAGGUGUGGAUCUGUGGUCGCCAGCCUUCAAGAUGGCUCCUGUCAUCCUUGCCUCCUGGGGUUCAUGCCCUUGUCGUUCCCUCUGUCAGUGAAUAGGGCUGAUCUGUGUAACCAGUGUGGUAUUGCAGAAGAGACAAAGUGUGACUUCUGGGACUAGGUCAUAAAAGACAGUGGUGUUUUCAUGUGUCAGUGCUCUCUGUUAGAUCACUUGCUCUGGGAGAAGCCAGCUGCCAUCAGGUGGGGACACUAGAGCAGCCCCAGGGAGCUCCCAUAUGGCAAGGAACUGAGACCUGCUGCCAACACCCAGGACCAAUUUGCCAUCCAUGAGAGUGGGCUGUCUCGAAAGUGGGUAAGUCAACCCAGUGUUUUAGUCAGUGCUUGCUGCUAAGGCAGGAGAGAAUAAUUGUGUAAAGAGGGGCCUCCUGCAGUGCAGGACAGGAAGCCACCAUGUGAGCACCACGUCCAUGUGCAGGUCGCAGGCUUCAUUAUGUCCUGAAUACUAUGCCUCUGCAUUUUAUGUUUCUACUUCUACCUCUCCAGCCCCGAAUACUCAUGGAAUAUUGCUGUACCUAUGACAGGUUGCACGAUUUUUCCCCCUCUGUGCACUCAAUUUGUGUAUUAUUGUAUCAUAUGACAUUCUGAAUCAAGUGCUGCUAGUACCAAGCUGCUAUCAUCAGCUGAUGCCAAAAAUAUUCGUUAUAACACUUCUCAGCAUGCAAGUGAGAGCACUUCAAAUCACACAGACAGAAUUUCCAGCCAUUGUUCUUUUCUUUUUUGCUUAUUAUACAGCAACAAGAAUCAAAACAAAAGGGGAUUUAUUAGAAAAUAAGGCUUCAGUAAAAUGUUAUAAAACAUGAGGUUUAUUGUUUGUGAAGACAGAGUGAAAUUCAGUACCACAUUAUAGAUACUGCCUCAGAGGCCUAUUUUCCCCUUCUUUUCUCUUUUCCCAAAUGUUUUUCAAGUGGCAUCUUUUUUUGUCUUUGAUUACAUUAAGGUGCAAACCAUUUAUCCAUCUGGAAAUAAGCAAUACUGUCAACAGAGAACCAGGAAAUGAAAAGUGCAGCCAGCCAUAUGCCUUCUCUAUGGCCUCUUUAUGUUACUAUGCUGAUCAAGACAAAUGCAGUACCCAUGGUAGCAAUAGGGAGAGUGAAAAUAUGUAUUCUCCAAGGGAAGACAAUUAAAAGACAAAUUCCAUCAGGAAGAUUUGUCAUUUUCUAGUGUUGAGAGUGCUGAGCCUGCAUCUAUCAGCAAAUUUCAUAUAAAUUAAUUUAUUUUACAAAGUGAAUGUUGAAACUUGGAAGCCAACUGACAAGAUGCCAGGGAUGGCAUGGGAAGGAAGAGAGAGCCUUCAUGGCAAUUUUGAAUACCUGAUCUCUUGCUUUCAUCAUCUUCUCUAGGGGAAGAAACACAGAACCUGUUAGUUGGGAGGUGAGGGGAAGGAAUGGAUACCAGAGAUGGACAGACAGUGGGGUGGUGAGAAGGGAGCUGCGAUUUGCUAAUCCUUUUAGUACUGCCUGUCAAUCAUCUUGCUUUCCUUAAUCAUCGAUCCUGGAGAGACUUUGAGCAAAGGGCUGGUGGAGUUGUGCAGAUGUGAUCCUCAGUUCAGCCUUAUGAAUACAUACCACGGUCUCUUUAAAUCUGUGGUUCCUGCACAAAGUGCUGAGUCAGGCUAAUAGAGAGGUCCAGAUGUCACAUAUGCGAAUUAGAAAGAAAUGAGGACCAUGGCUAUGGCCCACUGUGUUCAAAAGAGACGCCAAAACCACCCACUGGCAUUCAUUGCUGUCUAAUACGUGACCUGUCCUGCUGUUUAUUAUGUGGGGUGGCUCCCUAUUUUAAAAACCGUAUUCAUAAAAAGAUAUUUCUCAUCCUGCUGAGUCUCAGGCCCAUUAUUGUAGGUGAGGUGGUUUCUUUUGUUUGAUAUAUAACGUUUUGCUGACUUUGACUUGGAAAUUGUAAAGGCUUACCCAAAACCCUGAAGGAAAAGCUAAGAAUUCAUACUUAUUAAGCACUUGGUAGGUGUCUGACACUCUAGUAAAUAUAUACGAGAGCCCAGAACAAGCUGAUGUCCAUGUACAUAUCUUUAAAAAAUAUAAUGAUCUAGUCUUAUCUGUGGAAACUGCUUCAGAUACUGAUCUUACUCUUUCCUGUUACAUCAGAAAUUCUGGAAGAUAAUAUCCUGAAAGGUUUAUCCUCAAGAAUAACAAUACAUUAAAAUCUUCUGCUUUGAAAAUACUUUGAAAUUGUCAUUUUUUUUUUUUUUUUUUGCUAUAGAGUAUAAGUUAGGAAAUAUUUGGCAGGUGAAAUCAGACAUCCUCUCAACUCUGUCAGUUUUUGUCAAUUUCUGGGAUGAUGAAAGAUAUGAGAACUAGAAGGCUGGUUUAGUACUGACUCCUGGUUUAUGUUAAAUAAUGAAAUGCAAGCCAGAAGGACAAAUUGGCAGGGGCUCCGGCCAGCCAGCCAUUCUGCAAGCACUUGGGACUGGGCAAAGUGAGAGUCCAGGUCACAGACAAGGCCGGCUCUAAUCCAGAUAACUGUGGAGUCAGCAUUAAUGUGCUGACUCACUGCAGUGAGUCUCAAGCAUUUCUCUUAUCCUUUAAAUGCUUCCAAGUUUUGUUCUUUAAGUCCAAGUAGGCACCACAGGCACCAUGUGGGCAAGCAGGAGGGUCGGCCUGGGGUCCUACAAUAGGUGAUAGGACCCCAGGUAGUAGGGCCCCACCUCCCCUUUGAGGUGGUACAAACCAGAGCUUUGGAGGAGUCAGGGCAGAGGUGCAGACACCUUCCUGGGACCUGUUGAAUCCUUUCAGGUGUACGUAGCUGCUGGGCUGUGAGCUCUGUCUUUUUUGCCAGCCUUAUUCUUAGGAUCUGAUUUUAUUCCAGUCAAGCCUUUAACAUUCUUUCCUUGGUUUCCUCAGUAUAGCACACCCCACAGUAUGGUAUUGUAUGGGGACUCUCAGCUUGAUGGAUGCUGAUUUUUCUGGUUCUAAAAAAUGUUAUGUAUUGAUCCAUCUAUUUUAAUUUAUACCUAUGCAGUUAUUUAUUUACUUUGGUGAAUAGAGAACACAUUCUUGACACAGGGAAGGAAUACACUCCUUUAAGCUUCUUCUAGCACCACUGUGAAAGCUUCUAGACUUUUUUUCCUCCCAAAUCCUAUGAACAUGUUAGCGAGUUCCUCUCUGCCUUCUACUCAAAACUCAAAAUACAGUUUCUCUAAUCUGAAGGUAGGACCAAACCCCAUGUAUAAAAUUCCCAGGGUAAUAUUUAUAAAGACAAUUUCAAAAGAAGAAAAGGCUUAAUUGUAACUUGUAAAUGAUGGUUCAUGAAGGAAUGUAGAUAAUUUAUAAGAUUGUUUUGAGUUCGUUGGUAGAAAUAUUUUCAACAGCGUGUGGCUGAAAAGUUAGAAAAUUUAUAUCAAUCAUGUUUUUUAGCAAAGCAUCCUUUUACUGCUUUUAGAGUCACGCACAAGAAAACUUGCAGCUUACUAGCUAUAAAAUACUAUUGCUCCAUUUUAACUCUCUCUUUGUUUUGAUUUUUUCUUUUUAUGUGAAAGUGAUACAAAGUGAAUAAGAAUAACAUUGUUUUUCAAAAUAUUAUUGGUUAUAGAAUUUGUACUUGGUUUCUGCAACAUCUUAUGCUCCCCUAAAGGACAAUUUAAACUAUAUAGGUUUGCAUAGAUCCAUAGAGUAGGUCUCACAAAGACAGAGUUAUCCUUUGCUGCUGGUAUGUCAUUUUGUAGGCAUUUUAGCUGUGACAAGGGCUGGUGACAACUGCGUAGGGUGAAAAUGACUAUGUGAUUUUAAGGAUUGUGGAGGGACGCAGCAAUAAAUCUGCUCUGGUAGGAGUGACAGUAGCCCUGGACCUAGCUCAGGGCUGUACCCUAUCACUCACUCCAGAAUAAAGCUGAAGACCACAGCCAAGUCUUGCAUAUGCAGAAGGACACAAUGCUACAUUGGCGCUGGGCUCAGGCACAGCACUAGAAUUUAAUGGAAAAGUUGGUAGUUGGCACCAGAACAAAGUAGAUCAGGUCCAGAGAGCCAAAGAUAUGUUUCUCUCAAUCUUAGGAGACUGUUGACUAUUACACUCAGGCUACUCCAGGAAGGUAGCAGUGAUAAUUUUGAUAAUGUGCUAUGUGGCUUAUUACCAUUUGUCUUAGUCUGCUCAGGCUGCUAUAAAACAUACACUAAGAUGGGUAGCUUAUAAUCUAAACAGAAAUUUAUUGUCCAGUUCUGGAAGCUGGGAUGUCCAAUAUCCAGGCACUGGCAGGGUGGGUGUCUGGUGAGGGCUCAUACUCUGGCUCUUAGACAGUGCCUUCUCCUUGCUUCCUCAGGUGGUAGAAGGGACAAGAGAGCUGUCUGUUUCCUUUAUAAAGGCACUAAUCCCAUUUGUGAGGGCUUCACUCUCAUGACCUAAGCACCUCCCAAAAAUCUCACUUCGUAAUCCCAUUACCUUGGGGAUUAGACUGUCAACAUGUGAAUUUUGGAGGGACAUAAUCAUUCCGUUCAUUGUACCAUUUGUUAUUUAACUGAGCUCUUCUUUGAAAACUAAGUCUCUUUCUAAAUAUCCACAACUUAAUAGAAAUAACUUACCCUUUAAAGUAAGAAUAACCCUUUAAGAAUAGAAUAACUCCCUAAGGCUACCAUGUUCUGACUUCACUGGAAUCUUAGAGAGAAAGAGAGAAAGGCAGAGAGAGGAGAGGGAGGGAGGGAGGGGGGGUAGAGAGAGAGAGAGAGCAAAAAAAUCAUUCACACACAAACAAGGUAACCGUGGUAUUAAGAGAACCAUACAUUAUUCAGCAGUGAUUCAUCCUCUAAGCAUGUGUUGAGCAUGUACAAUGUAUAGAGCAUUGUCUAAGGCCUGGACCUAUGUUGGCAAAUUAAGAUAAGACACAGAAUCUCUUCUUAUGGGUCUGAAAGUCUAAUGCAGGGGUCAGCAAACUACGAUCUGCAAGCUGAACCUACCUCCUACUGGUUUUUGUAUGACCCUCAAGCUAAGACUGAAAAACACCAAAAGAAGACUAGUAUUUUGUGUCAUGUAAAAAAUUAUGUGAAUUUAAUUUAGGUGUACAGACACCGAAGUAAAAUUUUAUCAGAACGUAGCCAUCCUUAUUCUUUUACAUAUUGCCUAUGAUGGUUUUCAUGUUAUAAUGUCCAACUUGAGUAGUUACAUCAAAUAACUUUUGGUGCACAAAGCCUAAAAUAUUUAAUUUUAGCUCUUUACUGAAAAAGUUUCAAUGGGUUUUCUAAUGGGCUAGAAAGCCAUUAAUCAGAUUAUCACACCAUUAAAAGUAAGCAUGUGGGAAAUGCUGGGAAUGAAUGGUGUAUAAAUGUAUGAAUGUGUAUAAUGAGAUCUAGAAAUAUAGUGAUGGCAAGCAGACCCACGGUGGAAUUAAAACCUUCAUCACUUUUUGUUUAAUUCUUUACAGGGCUCACAAGAGACCACACUCAAGGAGUGAUGAACAAAUUGUAAUUGGUAACAUAAUUCUAGUAAUACUAAGUGUUGAGGAGUUUCUGACUGAAUCCCUACUUCUCUGAUGUUGAAGGUGUUGUAAGGCAAAGGGUCAAGAAAUCAAUUUAGUGACAUCCUAUAAUGCCCAGGCUUUCAUUGGCUAACCUUGGCAUUUAUUGGUACUCCAAUUGAAAAAAAAAAAACCUGACAAAUU